UCUAAGUGUUUACAGAUCAAA
Non-coding RNA from Caenorhabditis elegans, 21 nucleotides. The record is from Ensembl. NCBI's taxonomy places the organism in Eukaryota, Metazoa, Nematoda, Chromadorea, Rhabditida, Rhabditidae.